UACAGAGGGUGCAAGCGUUGCUCGGAAUUAUUGGGCGUAAAGGAUAGGUAGGUGGUCUCAUUUGUCCGGGGUGAAAGCCUUGAGCUUAACUCAAGAAGUGCCCCGGAAACGGUGAGACUGGAGUCUUGGAGAGGGUCGUGGAAUUCCCGGUGUAGCGGUGAAAUGCGUAGAGAUCGGGAGGAACACCAGAGGCGAAAGCGGCGACCUGGACAAGUACUGACACUCAACUACGAAAGCGUGGGGAGCAAACAGG
This 253-nucleotide ribosomal RNA is filed under the name uncultured bacterium. RNAcentral describes it as "partial 16S ribosomal RNA". It matches the Rfam family "Bacterial small subunit ribosomal RNA", at positions 524 to 776 of the family's 1533-position model. The record is from RNAcentral.